GAACAGUAAGAGUAAAUUUCCAGUUUGCUUAGGUAAGCUAACGAAAGUAAAGAGAAGCAUGAAAGAAGUGGAUUUCAAAUAUGACUGCUCAAGACCCACAGGCAGUCAAAGAAAUACCAGAAAUUUGUUCUUAGUUGAACACAAAUUCAAAUGCUUUGUUAAUCCGGAUAUAAUUUUAUCCACAGCAUGCACCAUUAAAUAUUAAUCUUUUUGAGCACUCAUUCCCCGUCCCCCCAGCAAUUCAAAAUAGUUCAAAAUACUUAGGGAAAAAUUGUUAUCAAAACAAAGCAAAACCUGAAUCAGAGUGAAUUAUACCAGCCACCUAGUCACUAAAGCAAUGCUAGACAAGCACAGACGGUGAACAUCUGGGUUUGCUUGCCUGCAGGGGGUGGAGUGAAGAAAGCAGAAGGCAUCAGCAGGUGAAGCAGGCACUGCACUUGUGUCUCCUGAGCACAUUCUUCAAAAAUGACUUACUUUCACCAGUUUAGUGUGCCAAAACUCACUGCUUUUCAGACUAUGAUGAAAAAAAUGUUGGAGGAAGUGGUGUCAACAUCAGGAAAGAAAAGAGUCCAAGGGAGGAGGAGUCUUCUUUAUGAUGCUCACCCCCACGUGUCUGCACAAGCCAUGCUCCCUCUGAUGACGGAUCCUUACUAAGGGUCCUUGUCGUCCUGAUCAACUAAAUGAACGAUGCAGCAUCUCCUUGGAAAAAAUGUGCAGCAGAAGUGCACGACAGAUGGUGAUCCAUGCUGCUCAGGCCUGGCUUCUGAAGGGCUUUGGCACUGGGAGUAACAAAACUGGAAUGUGCUGCUUGCUUUUGGGGGUGCUGCUGACCCGGUGAAGAUGUCCCUGAGAACACUGCCAGGACUACUGAUAAUUUUAGCACUCCACUGAAGGCAUUAGAUCACAGUUAUUAGCUAUGGAGUAUGGUUGAAAAAUUGUUUUAACAUUUAAUUUCUGUAGCUUUUUAUAUGUUUAUUCUUUUGAGAGACUUGGUUCAUCUUUGGUGUUUAGUGAGAGCAUCUUCUAAGAGCUCAUAUCUGGUCAAUUCUCCAUGCUUGUCUUCUAUUGUAUUUUGCAUAUUUUAUAUUAAAAUAAUUGGUUUUGGGCAGCCUGGGUGGCUCAGUGGUUUAGCCCUGCCUUCAGCCCAGGGCAUGAUCCUGGAGACCCG
Molecule: long non-coding RNA, 1168 nt
Organism: Canis lupus familiaris (dog)
Lineage: Eukaryota; Metazoa; Chordata; Mammalia; Carnivora; Canidae
Exons: 3
Source: RefSeq, a predicted model, not a curated record